AGUAGUGAAGUAAUUAUAUUACAUUUAGUUUCGACCUAAAAUUAAGAGAAUACUUCUCCUUACUU
This 65-nucleotide transfer RNA is filed under the name Sycanus bifidus. RNAcentral's name for it is "Sycanus croceovittatus tRNA-Arg". Lineage: Eukaryota; Metazoa; Arthropoda; Insecta; Hemiptera; Reduviidae. The record is from RNAcentral.